AUUGAACGCUGGCGGCAGGCCUAACACAUGCAAGUCGAGCGGAUGAAGGGAGCUUGCUCCUGGAUUCAGCGGCGGACGGGUGAGUAAUGCCUAGGAAUCUGCCUGGUAGUGGGGGAUAACGUCCGGAAACGGGCGCUAAUACCGCAUACUUCCUGCGGGAGAAAGUGGGGGGUCUUCGGACCUCACGCUAUCAUAUGAGCCUAGGUCGGAUUAGCUAGUUGGCGGGGUAAAGGCCUACCAAGGCGACGAUCCGUAACUGGUCUGAGAGGAUGAUUAGUCACACUGGAACUGAGACACGGUCCAGACUCCUACGGGAGGCAGCAGUGGGGAAUAUUGGACAAUGGGCGAAAGCCUGAUCCAGCCAUGCCGCGUGUGUGAAGAAGGUCUUCGGAUUGUAAAGCACUUUAAGUUGGGAGGAAGGGCAGUAAGUUAAUACCUUGCUGUUUUGACGGUACCAACAGAAUAAGCACCGGCUAACUUCGUG
RNAcentral lists this ribosomal RNA (484 nucleotides) under uncultured bacterium. RNAcentral describes it as "partial 16S ribosomal RNA". It matches the Rfam family "Bacterial small subunit ribosomal RNA", at positions 30 to 507 of the family's 1533-position model. The record is from RNAcentral.